RNAcentral lists this ribosomal RNA (348 nucleotides) under uncultured bacterium. Its description in RNAcentral is "bacterial SSU rRNA". It matches the Rfam family "Bacterial small subunit ribosomal RNA", at positions 527 to 874 of the family's 1533-position model. The record is from RNAcentral.
GGAGGGUGCAAGCGUUACUCGGAAUCACUGGGCGUAAAGGACGCGUAGGCGGGUUGUCAAGUCAGGUGUGAAAUCCUACAGCUUAACUGUAGAACUGCACUUGAAACUGGCAACCUAGAGUAUGGGAGGGGGAGAUGGAAUUAGUGGUGUAGGGGUAAAAUCCGUAGAUAUCACUAGGAAUAUCAAAAGCGAAGGCGAUCUCCUGGAACAUUACUGACGCUAAGGCGUGAAAGCGUGGGGAGCAAACAGGAUUAGAUACCCUGGUAGUCCACGCCCUAAACGAUGAACACUAGUCGUCGGGAUGCUAGUCAUCUCGGUGAUGCACUUAACAGAUUAAGUGUUCCGCCU